This 590-nucleotide ribosomal RNA is filed under the name Escherichia coli. RNAcentral's name for it is "bacterial SSU rRNA". It matches the Rfam family "Bacterial small subunit ribosomal RNA", at positions 106 to 692 of the family's 1533-position model. The record is from RNAcentral. Lineage: Bacteria; Pseudomonadati; Pseudomonadota; Gammaproteobacteria; Enterobacterales; Enterobacteriaceae.
GUGAGUAAUGUCUGGGAAACUGCCUGAUGGAGGGGGAUAACUACUGGAAACGGUAGCUAAUACCGCAUAACGUCGCAAGACCAAAGAGGGGGACCUUCGGGCCUCUUGCCAUCGGAUGUGCCCAGAUGGGAUUAGCUAGUAGGUGGGGUAACGGCUCACCUAGGCGACGAUCCCUAGCUGGUCUGAGAGGAUGACCAGCCACACUGGAACUGAGACACGGUCCAGACUCCUACGGGAGGCAGCAGUGGGGAAUAUUGCACAAUGGGCGCAAGCCUGAUGCAGCCAUGCCGCGUGUAUGAAGAAGGCCUUCGGGUUGUAAAGUACUUUCAGCGGGGAGGAAGGGAGUAAAGUUAAUACCUUUGCUCAUUGACGUUACCCGCAGAAGAAGCACCGGCUAACUCCGUGCCAGCAGCCGCGGUAAUACGGAGGGUGCAAGCGUUAAUCGGAAUUACUGGGCGUAAAGCGCACGCAGGCGGUUUGUUAAGUCAGAUGUGAAAUCCCCGGGCUCAACCUGGGAACUGCAUCUGAUACUGGCAAGCUUGAGUCUCGUAGAGGGGGGUAGAAUUCCAGGUGUAGCGGUGAAAUGCGUA